This 162-nucleotide small RNA is filed under the name Arabidopsis thaliana (thale cress). Its description in RNAcentral is "ATSL159420". The record is from RNAcentral. Lineage: Eukaryota; Viridiplantae; Streptophyta; Magnoliopsida; Brassicales; Brassicaceae.
UUGAGGAUAAGCAAAGAUCUAAGUCGGGGGGAGUUGAUAUGUUGCGUUUUUGGUGUCUUAGGUCCCUUAGUUUUGAGUCGUUUGUCGUGUCAUAGUCCGUCUUUUGUAUCUAUUCGGUUCUGUCUUGAUUCAUUUGCAGGUUUUAGGUGUUUAAGCGGGACA